Molecule: long non-coding RNA, 617 nt
Filed under: Drosophila guanche
Lineage: Eukaryota; Metazoa; Arthropoda; Insecta; Diptera; Drosophilidae
Source: RNAcentral
GAGUGCGCAGCUCUAAUCCAGAAAUGCAGUUCCCAAUAUCACUGACGCUACUCCUCGUGCUCGUGGGCGUGGCCUUAGGCGUGCCCGGGCGUGUUCCGAUGAGAACCUCGUCCACCUGGGGCCCCAGAGACAGUACGUGCAUAUCGACCAUGUCGACUAUCUUUCUUUAACUCUCUCCUUCGUCCCAACAGUUCAGAAAUGGUGUAGACUCAACUUUGGACCGGCUUGGGGUGGCAGAGGAUGCUAAAAUCUUGACUUAAUCUUGAAUAGUGCUGAUCGCUCAUUUAUGAUUCAUAAUUGUUUGUUCCCUCAUUUUCUGAACCUUAAUAGAUGUUUCUUAAGGCAUUUUUUGUCACUGUUUCCAAGCAGAGAGCGGAAAAUAAUGAUUUCGUUCCUGUGGCUGCUUUUUGAUGGAACAUUUUCCAGGCAGCAGAGCGCAAAAACUUUUCCAUUGCCACACACGAGAAAGUUUUCCCUUGCAGUCGGAGAAUGCUCGCAAGUUGUUGCCACGCCCAGUUAUACUCUCAUUAUCUUCCUGGCAUAUAAGUCCCAAGUAACUCCCCUCCCAGCUAUGGCUACCCCUCCAUCAACUUCUCUCCUCCUCUCUCAUGUGUGUG